GAUGAACGCUGACAGAAUGCUUAACACAUGCAAGUCGAUUCAAGUUACCUUCGGGUAAUGAGGAUGGCGGACGGGUGAGUAACGCGUAAGGAACUUGCCUCUUGGUCUGGGACAACUGUUGGAAACGACAGCUAAUACCGGAUAUUAUGAGAUUCUCGCAUGGGAAACUUAUGAAAGCUAUAUGCGCCAAGAGAGAGCCUUGCGUUCCAUUAGCUAGUUGGUGGGGUAACGGCCCACCAAGGCGACGAUGGAUAGCCGGCCUGAGAGGGUGAACGGCCACAAGGGGACUGAGACACGGCCCUUACUCCUACGGGAGGCAGCAGUGGGGAAUAUUGGNNNNNGNNNNNAAAGUCUGAUCCAGCAAUUCUGUGUGCACGAUGAAGGUCUUCGGAUUGUAAAGUGCUUUCAGUUGGGAAGAAGCAAGUGACGGUACCAACAGAAGAAGCGACGGCUAAAUACGUGCCAGCAGCCGCGGUAAUACGUAUGUCGCANGCGUUAUCCGGAUUUAUUGGGGCGUAAAGCGCGUCUAGGCGGAAAAAUAAGUCUGAUGUUAAAAUGCGGGGCUCAACUCCGUAUUGCGUUGGAAACUGUUUUUCUAGAGUACUGG
RNAcentral lists this ribosomal RNA (607 nucleotides) under uncultured prokaryote. Its description in RNAcentral is "bacterial SSU rRNA". It matches the Rfam family "Bacterial small subunit ribosomal RNA", at positions 28 to 652 of the family's 1533-position model. The record is from RNAcentral.